UACGUAGGGACCAAGCGUUGUUCGGAUUUACUGGGCGUAAAGGGUGCGUAGGCGGCCCUGUAAGUCAGGAGUGAAAGUUUGCGGCUCAACCGUAAAAUUGCUUUUGAUACUGCGGGGCUAGAAUUAGGAUGAGGUCAGCGGAAUGUGGCAUGUAGCGGUGAAAUGCAUAGAUAUGCCAUAGAACACCAAUUGCGAAGGCAGCUGGCUAGACCUGGAUUGACGCUGAGGCACGAAAGCGUGGGGAGCGAACAGG
This 253-nucleotide ribosomal RNA is filed under the name uncultured bacterium. RNAcentral describes it as "partial 16S ribosomal RNA". It matches the Rfam family "Bacterial small subunit ribosomal RNA", at positions 524 to 776 of the family's 1533-position model. The record is from RNAcentral.